This 467-nucleotide ribosomal RNA is filed under the name uncultured bacterium. RNAcentral's name for it is "partial 16S ribosomal RNA". It matches the Rfam family "Bacterial small subunit ribosomal RNA", at positions 28 to 507 of the family's 1533-position model. The record is from RNAcentral.
GAUGAACGCUGGCGGCGUGCUUAACACAUGCAAGUCGAACGGAAAGGCCCAAGCUUGCUUGGGUACUCGAGUGGCGAACGGGUGAGUAACACGUGGGUGAUCUGCCCUGCACUUCGGGAUAAGCCUGGGAAACUGGGUCUAAUACCGGAUAGGACCACUUCUUGGAUGUUGUGGUGGAAAGUUUUUUCGGUGUGGGAUGAGCUCGCGGCCUAUCAGCUUGUUGGUGGGGUAAUGGCCUACCAAGGCGUCGACGGGUAGCCGGCCUGAGAGGGUGUACGGCCACAUUGGGACUGAGAGACGGCCCAGACGCCUACGGGAGGCAGCAGUGGGGAAUAUUGAACAAUGGGCGCAAGCCGGAUGCAGCGACGCCGCGGGGGGGAUGACGGACUUCGGGUUGUAAACUCCUUUCGCUAGGGACGAAGCGUUUUGUGACGGUACCUGGAGAAGAAGCACCGGCUAACUACGUG